RNAcentral lists this ribosomal RNA (450 nucleotides) under uncultured bacterium. RNAcentral's name for it is "partial 16S ribosomal RNA". It matches the Rfam family "Bacterial small subunit ribosomal RNA", at positions 354 to 796 of the family's 1533-position model. The record is from RNAcentral.
GUGGGGAAUCUUCCGCAAUGGACGAAAGUCUGACGGAGCAACGCCGCGUGAGUGAAGAAGGUUUUCGGAUCGUAAAGCUCUUUCGUUAGGGACGAACGUGCUCUUUGUGAAUAAUGAGGAGUAAUGACGGUACCUAAAUAAGAAGCCACGGCUAACUACGUGCCAGCAGCCGCGGUAAUACGUAGGUGGCAAGCGUUGUCCGGAAUUAUUGGGCGUAAAGCGCGCGCAGGCGGGAUAUCAAGUCUGUCUUAAAAGUGCGAGGCUCAACCUCGUGAGGGGACAGAAACUGGUAUUCUUGAGUGUCGGAGAGGAAAGUGGAAUUCCAAGUGUAGCGGUGAAAUGCGUAGAUAUUAGGAAGAACACCAGUGGCGAAGGCGACUUUCUGGACGAAAACUGACGCUGAGGCGCGAAAGCCAGGGGAGCGAACGGGAUUAGAAACCCCGGUAGUCC